This 794-nucleotide ribosomal RNA is filed under the name uncultured Thermococcus sp. Its description in RNAcentral is "bacterial SSU rRNA". It matches the Rfam family "Archaeal small subunit ribosomal RNA", at positions 85 to 876 of the family's 1478-position model. Lineage: Archaea; Methanobacteriati; Methanobacteriota; Thermococci; Thermococcales; Thermococcaceae. The record is from RNAcentral.
ACGGCUCAGUAACACGUCGGUAACCUACCCUCGGGAGGGGGAUAACCCCGGGAAACUGGGGCUAAUUCCCCAUAGGCCUGAGGUACUGGAAGGUCCUCAGGCCGAAAGGGACUUAUGUCCGCCCGAGGAUGGGCCGGCGGCCGAUUAGGUAGUUGGUGGGGUAAUGGCCCACCAAGCCGAAGAUCGGUACGGGCUGUGAGAGCAGGAGCCCGGAGAUGGACACUGAGACACGGGUCCAGGCCCUACGGGGCGCAGCAGGCGCGAAACCUCCGCAAUGCGGGAAACCGCGACGGGGGGACCCCGAGUGCCGUGGCAACGCCACGGCUUUUCCGGAGUGUAAAAAGCUCCGGGAAUAAGGGCUGGGCAAGGCCGGUGGCAGCCGCCGCGGUAAUACCGGCGGCCCGAGUGGUGGCCGCUAUUAUUGGGCCUAAAGCGUCCGUAGCCGGGCCCGUAAGUCCCUGGCGAAAUCCCACGGCUCAACCGUGGGGCUUGCUGGGGAUACUGCGGGUCUUGGGACCGGGAGAGGCGGGGGGUACCCCUGGGGUAGGGGUGAAAUCCUAUAAUCCCAGGGGGACCGCCAGUGGCGAAGGCGCCCCGCUGGAACGGGUCCGACGGUGAGGGACGAAGGCCAGGGGAGCAAACCGGAUUAGAUACCCGGGUAGUCCUGGCUGUAAAGGAUGCGGGCUGGGUGUCGGGUGAGCCUCGAGCUCGCCCGGUGCCGUAGGGAAGCCGUUAAGCCCGCCGCCUGGGGAGUACGGCCGCAAGGCUGAAACUUAAAGGAAUUGGCGGGGGAG